UUGGAAAUAGGACAAGUGUGGGUUCCCCAC
RNAcentral lists this non-coding RNA (30 nucleotides) under Mus musculus (house mouse). Lineage: Eukaryota; Metazoa; Chordata; Mammalia; Rodentia; Muridae. The record is from RNAcentral.